This is a long non-coding RNA of Cyprinus carpio (common carp), 2181 nucleotides long. Lineage: Eukaryota; Metazoa; Chordata; Actinopteri; Cypriniformes; Cyprinidae. The record is from Ensembl.
UAUUUUUUAGACUUGUAGUGAUGGAAAUAAUUAUUUGGUGUAGUCAAUUACCAUACAUAAUGUUGCAUAUUAAUGUUGCAUACAUAAUGUUGCAAAUUAAAUUUUCCAAAUUCAGAAAAUAAAAAUAAAAUUGAAUUUAAUUCGUAAAGGACCAUGAUAGUAAGAAAUGAGAUGGGAGCAAGAUUUAUUUCAGUGCUUUAUUGGGGGGGAUAUAAUAGUUUUGCAAAUGUUUUGUGAGCAAACAAAGGUUGUCAGGGAAACAAUACUUUUGUAACAGAACUCAAACAGUUUGGAAAGCACCUGCCAAAGCACUGAAAUAUCUUCAUCACAAUGUCCCCUUAGUGGCUCCAUAAUUUGCCUAAAAGCAUAUGAAAUUAAUGAUGAUUUUAUAUAUAUAAAAUAUGUAGUAUAAUAAUAGUGUGUAUAAAGAGAGACAUAUGUAAUGUAUUUGAAUUAUUUUCAUGUUCUUAGUUGCUGCUCUGUCUCUUACUUUUUUUCUCCUUUUCACUCUCUCUCUCAAUCCAUCUUCUUGUCUAUACUGUUAGCCAACCUGUUGUAGCUCUUCCACACCCCCCAAACUUUCUCCUUCAGAGGUAUUUGCUUCAUUCAUUCACUUUCUCUCACAUACCCUUUUACACAACCCUUUCUAGGCUGUCUUGAAUUCUCAUCCCCCUCAUCCUGGGACAUUGCACUACAGCGUGUGGACUCCCGUAACCUGGAUUGGAUUGGAUUAUUACCUGAUGGCUCAUCAACAGGACCGGGUCUGUUUCAAGCAGCCAGCAGUUUUGCUUUUGAGAGGAGGACCAUGGUACAGGGUACAGUGGGAGAGAUAAAAGGGAGAGAGUGUAGCAGCUAUUCCAAAGAAGAGGAUCUGCCGGGAAAGAGAUAAGAGGGGAGGACAGGGAACGAAAGAGAGAGUUGGAGGACGAGAAAGAGAGAGAGAAAAUGGGAUAUUGCGGCAUGUGGAUCUUCCUCUUGUCCCUGUCUCUCUUCUAUCAAAGCACCACUGCAGAGGCUGAAGUAUGUCGUACAGCCAUGCCUGCUGAUAUUGUGUUCCUGGUGGAUGAUUCCUGGUCAGUGGGUCUAACCAGCUUGCAGCAGAUCAAAGAGUUCAUAGCGGACAUCAUCCGAGGCUUUCAGGGAAGUGUGGUUGGAAGGAAGGCAUUCGCUUUGGAGUUACUGUCUAUUCUGACUUGCCCAGAUUGCUGUUCUGAUCACUAAUGGCCAAUCAGAUGAUCCAGUGGACAGUCCAGCUAAAGCUGUAACAGACAGUGGAAUUUCCCUGUUUGCUGUGGGUGAGUUGAAAACUUGGUGUUCUUCAUGUCAGAAGUGUUUGUGUUGUAGUCUAAACGGGCAUGACACGUCUGUGUGCACUUCUUCAUGUUUUGACGUGUGGUUCAGAGUAACUAUAGUGAAUAGUACAAUGCAGCAAGACAUAGAAUGUGUAUCAGAGCCGAUCCUCCCUAUACACAAAAUACGCAAGCUGCAUAUGGCCCCUGAAACACCAGGGGGCCCCCUUGCUUUAAAAGAUUAUUUAAUUUUAGUUUUGUUUUUGAAUUUGGCCAGCAGUUAUGAAAACGAUCAUUUGAAAAAUUAUAAUUUCUUUUAAUGCGGUGUGCUGUCGCCCUUUCUACGUAAAAAUCAGUUAAAUCAUGUAAUGUGAAUGUCAUACAGUCUUGCUCGGGACUAAAAAAACGAGUUGAAAGAGUUCCGAGCCACAGAAGAGACACUGCUUCUUAAGCGCUUUCCGCGAGCGCGAUUCGAGACGGAGUGAAACAUGGACAAAUGCGUUUCAUUCAUUCGUUCAUAACCACUCAUAACCCACUCCAUGUUUGCGUAGGGCCCCCUGAAGUAUAGGAUGGGCUCUGAUGUGUAUGUUUAUGUGUGUGUCAGCCUUGUUUCCUUUCUCGCGCUCUUUCUGUUUUGACGCCCAGAGUGCUGAAAUAAUUAUGGUUCAUUACCCGGUGGCUGACUAAUUGCUGUAAUUUUUCAUCAAACUCAUUCCUCCUGGCCCCCNCACACACACACACACACACACACACACACACACACACACACACACACACACACACACACACACACACACACACACACACAAACACACACUCACUGACACUGUUUCCUGCCUUUCUAAUCAGUUUUCCCAGAGACACGUGAAUAUAUCUGGCCGUUUGACACAUC